Molecule: ribosomal RNA, 468 nt
Filed under: uncultured bacterium
Lineage: Bacteria
Description: partial 16S ribosomal RNA
Rfam family: Bacterial small subunit ribosomal RNA
Source: RNAcentral
GACGAACGCUGGCGGCGUGCUUAACACAUGCAAGUCGAACGGAAAGGCCCUGCUUUUGUGGGGUGCUCGAGUGGCGAACGGGUGAGUAACACGUGAGUAACCUGCCCUUGACUUUGGGAUAACUUCAGGAAACUGGGGCUAAUACCGGAUAGGAGCUCCUGCUGCAUGGUGGGGGUUGGAAAGUUUCGGCGGUUGGGGAUGGACUCGCGGCUUAUCAGCUUGUUGGUGGGGUAGUGGCUUACCAAGGCUUUGACGGGUAGCCGGCAUGGGAGGGUGACCGGCGACAUUGGGACUGAAAUACGGCCCAGACUCCUACGGGAGGCAGCAGUGGGGAAUGUUGCACAAUGGGCGGAAGCCUGAUGCAGCAACGCCGCGUGCGGGAUGACGGCCUUCGGGUUGUAAACCGCUUUCGCCUGUGACGAAGCGUGAGUGACGGUAAUGGGUAAAGAAGCACCGGCUAACUACGUG